This 1473-nucleotide unclassified non-coding RNA is filed under the name Leishmania donovani. Its description in RNAcentral is "gene:LdHU3.23.1520(CDS-product:hypothetical_prote in_conserved)". Lineage: Eukaryota; Euglenozoa; Kinetoplastea; Trypanosomatida; Trypanosomatidae. The record is from RNAcentral.
CGUUGCUGCAGGCCCUCUUCCUCCCUGUUGCUCUCUCCGUAAACCAGAACGCACACACACAUAAAGCGGACGUCAUGGGUAAUAAGAUCAGCAGCGCCGACCAAUCGAAUGCGGAUGACAGAGGCGUCCACUCCGAGUUCGUGUACCGCUACGAAACCACAAAGAAGCUGAAGCUGUCGUACAUGAUGCUCAAGAAGAACGUCGCGACUGCCGUCAUGACCAUGGAGAUCACCCCGCAGCACCUCCGCGACGUCGGCACGGGCUACUCGAACGUGUGCGCCUGCCUGAAACACGGCGGCUCCGGGGGAGCAAACUCGCGCAUCCAGGGCCGGGCCGAGGGCCGCGAUCAGGCCCCUACCAGCCGCUCCAGGGUUGACCGCGAGCUCGCUGAUGAGUCCUACCAGGGUUUUCAGACCUUCUGUGAGGCCAUGGAUGACAUCAAGACCGGUGUGUGCGUCACUUGCCGCACCGCCAUUCACGAAAGGAUCACGGUCGAGCUGGACAGGAUGGUGUUGACCGCAGAGCGCGUUCUGAAGCAGGGUAGGAAGACGAUGCGUAGCAUGGCCCGUUUGACAAAAGUCGCAAGGCAAGUGUCGCGGCGCGAACGGUCGGCGGUGAGCCAGGGCAAGGACCUCUCAUCGAGCAAGAGCUACGCGAAGGCCGUCAAGAGGCGCGACGCAAAGGAGAGUUUGUACAAGACAGAGCUCGAGGCCUUUGAUCAGCUGUACGAGAACGUCAUGGUCGGGUCGCAGGAGUUCUGCUCCUCGACGACGGACAUCUUCCUUGACUGCAUCGUCGGCUAUUACCGCGAGAUAGUGACGACGAUCGACGUCUCAGACACCCCGCAGUGCAGCCGCUUGCGAAGCCGCUUUCGCAGCCGUGAGCGAGAGGUGGUGCUGCACCAGGCUUCGGAUGCGAGGUUUUGUGAGAUGCCGGCUGGGCACAAGGACGGCAGCAAGUCCUCGCCCUCCACCGUGCCGCUGAAGUGGGAUUAGGACGUUGCGCACUGCCAGAUAUCUCAUUGAUACCGCUAUCAAAGAGGGUCGCUUACUGCGUGCGCAUCACCCGUCUCACGUGUGCGCAAGUGCACGCAGGGCAACGACAUUGUCUCCUCUCUCUUAUCUUGUUUUACUUUUACCAUUGUGCAUUUCUCUUCCCAUUCGCAGCUCGCCUCGUCGAGUGCGUGACGGGUUCCGCUGCCACCGCUUCCGCUCUUCGCGCACUCUCCGUCUCUUGGUCGACUCUCUUUCUCUCUCUUUCUGCUGCGUGCGAGUUGUAAAGUCGAGUUUGGGGUGCGGAUGCUCUUCUCUGAGGCAGCACCAAAAGGGGACACCAACAGAUGCGGGCCGACGAACAUAUCUCGAAGAGGCACUAGAUGGCGCACAUCUCCCCUUUGCCAGUGCUGCUUGCCGGGUGAUGGCCGGCACCCCGCCAACCCGUGUUUCUCCCCUCCUGUAUUUCAAAUCUCCGCUG